RNAcentral lists this ribosomal RNA (327 nucleotides) under uncultured eukaryote. Its description in RNAcentral is "partial 18S ribosomal RNA". It matches the Rfam family "Eukaryotic small subunit ribosomal RNA", at positions 1470 to 1796 of the family's 1831-position model. The record is from RNAcentral.
CCCUUAGAUGUUCUGGGCCGCACGCGCGCUACACUGACGAAUGCAACGAGCUUAUAACCUUGGCCGAAAGGUCUGGGUAAUCUCCAAAUUUCGUCGUGAUGGGGAUAGAUUAUUGCAAUUAUUAAUCUUCAACGAGGAAUGCCUAGUAAGCGCAAGUCAUCAGCUUGCGUUGAUUACGUCCCUGCCCUUUGUACACACCGCCCGUCGCUCCUACCGAUUGAAUGGUCCGGUGAAGCGUUCGGACCGUGGCCUUUGGACGGUUCGCCGUCUGUUGGAUGCGGGAAGUUCGUUAAACCUUAUCAUUUAGAGGAAGGAGAAGUCGUAACA